RNAcentral lists this unclassified non-coding RNA (400 nucleotides) under uncultured fungus. Its description in RNAcentral is "sequence contains ITS1". The stretch from base 1 to 106 matches the Rfam family "5.8S ribosomal RNA", at positions 50 to 154 of the family's 154-position model. The record is from RNAcentral. Lineage: Eukaryota; Fungi.
AAAAUGCGAUACGUAAUGCGAAUUGCAGAAUUCAGUGAAUCAUCAAAUCUUUGAACGCAAAUUGCGCUCUCGGGAUAGGCCUGGGAGCACGCCUCUUUGAGUAUCGAUUCCACCACAACUCGGAAGCGUGCAUUUUUCGAAGUGCACUGCUGACGGAAAAUGAGCGUUCUCGUGUUUUCAACUCGAGAUGCUUUAAAUGAAGCGAGUGGCACGAUUUCUAACUCGAAAUCGAAUUUGUCUCUAGUGACGAGGAUAACUUCACAUUCACUUGUGAACCCUUCCAUCGUGACUAUUGAGAUAGAUGACGUUUCGUGGCUAGUUGUCAAUGUGACACGGUCCUCUCUGGCUUCUGUUAUCAGACGUCAGAGAAUACUUUUGAACUAGAUCUCAAAUGAAGCGA